RNAcentral lists this unclassified non-coding RNA (329 nucleotides) under soil metagenome. RNAcentral's name for it is "partial contains 5.8S ribosomal RNA, internal transcribed spacer 2, and large subunit ribosomal RNA". The stretch from base 1 to 120 matches the Rfam family "5.8S ribosomal RNA", at positions 35 to 154 of the family's 154-position model. The record is from RNAcentral.
GAUGAAGAACGCAGCGAAAUGCGAUAAGUAAUGUGAAUUGCAGAAUUCCGUGAAUCAUCGAAUCUUUGAACGCACAUUGCGCCCCUUGGUAUCCCGAGGGGCAUGCCUGUUCGAGCGUCAUUUCACCACUCAAGCCUGGCUUGGUGUUGGGCGACGUCCCCUUUAGGGACGCGCCUCGAAACGCUCGGCGGCGUGGCACCGGCUUUAAGCGUAGCAGAAUCUUUCGCUUUGGAAGUCGGGGCCCCGCCUGCCGGAAUACCUACUCGUAAGGUUGACCUCGGAUCAGGCAGGGAUACCCGCUGAACUUAAGCAUAUCAAUAAGCGGAGGA